This 26-nucleotide non-coding RNA is filed under the name Homo sapiens (human). The record is from RNAcentral. Lineage: Eukaryota; Metazoa; Chordata; Mammalia; Primates; Hominidae.
UGGGUAGCAGUACAGAGGCUGGGAGG